This 387-nucleotide long non-coding RNA is filed under the name Setaria viridis. Its description in RNAcentral is "long non-coding RNA (SVIR_LNC000527)". Lineage: Eukaryota; Viridiplantae; Streptophyta; Magnoliopsida; Poales; Poaceae. The record is from RNAcentral.
CUGAUUUGAACUGCAAAUUUGGGGAGUUUUGUAGAAGAAUUGGACCAAGGUCCAAUUAACAAAGUUGUAGUAGGGACUUCAUUCUCCAACUUCUAAAAAGAGUUUUCUUGGUGUCCUGCUCAACUUUCCAAAGAUAAACCUUCCCUAAGGCGCUAGGUUGGGCUGGAAACCAGACUUAGUCGAUAUAGCUCAAGAAAAACUGAGUCAACCAGAUUAGGGAACUUUUCUUAAGAUUAAACUUGGCUCAAAUAAUCUAGGUCGUUACAGCCUACCCCCCUUAAAAAGAAUCUCGUCCCGAGAUUCGGGUGCAAGGACAACUAGUGGGAUGGGCGGGUCUUACCUCCUUAGCUGAAAAGAAAACCUCUGAAGUGCUUAUUCAGAUAUUCC